Long non-coding RNA from Gasterosteus aculeatus aculeatus (three-spined stickleback), 8937 nucleotides. NCBI's taxonomy places the organism in Eukaryota, Metazoa, Chordata, Actinopteri, Perciformes, Gasterosteidae. The record is from Ensembl.
CCCGAUCGGUCUUUCGUAUGCUGAUGAGGGAGCGGUUUGGGGUUUACUGGCCUGGUUGGAAAUGAUUUAGGGCGACACCGGGGCUCUGAGGCUUUAUGCCGCCGGGGGCUCGUAUAUCACCCUGAUCAUUAAUCAAUUAGCGUCUCCGAGCCACCUGUCGGACACGUCGCCGCACAAAACAUUCCUGCCCUCGGGCUGUUGCUAGACGAUGAUCAUCAGCAGCACCACUAUUACCUUCCAGCCCCCCCCCCCCUUAUGGUAAUACCCUGAUGGAUUACAUAAUCACUGUGGGCAGUAAAUGCAGCCGUCUCCACCGCGGCACUGACGGCCGUUUGGUAUUGAUCACAUGAGCUUCUCCGUCCGGCCGUCUUUUAUCACAAAUUGUCCGUGUGGGAUAGAAGUUUCUGGAAGUUCCGUUCCACUUUUGGUGGUCCGGGUUGCUGGAGAGCUCCAUCAGGCUUUGUUGAUCUCGCGUAACCACUCGAGACGCCGCGCGGCGAUUAAAUAAAUAAGGCCGAGCUCCGUUAAAAAAAAAAAAAAAAAAGAAAAAAAACCUGCUUGAAAUACCGUUUCUUUAAAUGAAGAUUUGCAUGUAAGUUUGAACUCUCGCUGCCACUAGAAAAUCUGUUCCUCGCAGCUCUGCUUCCCCCACAAAAAGCAUUUUUCACCCUUUUUGUGUUAUUUGGAACGAAUUCUUAAAAGCAGCUGGAGAGAAAAGUGGCACCAAAGUUGGAGCCUAAUCCGCCAACCCUCAACACGGGGACACGGAGCGGGUAGAUUUGUCACGCCUCGAUGUGGCAGUGUUCUUUCAUUACAGAAGCGGCGCUCUUCACGCAGCUUAGCCAAACCAAACGGCUCAAUCGGCCUCGUGAGGAAGGUCUACGAGGAAGAGGACGCAGCGAGGCUCCUAUCUGCGAAGCCAGAAAAGCCCAGUUGGUCCUACCUGUGCUCCGCUCUUAAGGGAAAAAUGGACACUUUCAAUCACAAAGGGAUUGGAGGGUAAAAGCCGCACGCCGUGUGUGCAAAGUGUGUAACAAAGUUCCCUUUUUUCUCCAAUUCUCUUUCGUCUUUUAAAGCCAACCGGUCCAGGAAAGAAGCCAGAUGCCGACAUCAUCAGGUGGAUUUUCAAAAGAACAAAAGAUCCUCUGCGAUUCUUUUCACUGCCAUUUCAUGCAGCGUAGACCCUCACUACGUGUGUGUGUGUGUGUGUGUGUGUGUGUGUGUGCGCGUUAACACCGCCCUGUCAUUGGUAUUUCAACCAAAUUAAUUCCCUCACACUUUCUUCUACUUACUCAAAGUGACGUCCCAGAAACCAACUGAAGCUGACAACAUAUCAGAUGUGGCUCAUCGUAUCUGAUCACAUUGACAUGAACGUAUCGAAACGGCCGAAUGUGACGAACAGAUAUUUCUGGAGAGAUAAAAAGGUUAAAGAAUGUCAAAGUGCAUAAAAACACAACAACAUAACUGCAGCCUGAGCGCGAUGAAGGCGAUGCACAUGGCACACAGGCAGGGGGGGGUGACGGGGCAAAGGCCUGACCUGUGGGGGUCAAAAGGGUGUGAGGAGCAUUUAUCACAGCUAGCUUCCCUGGGAGCCGGCCGGGGCCCACCGCUACCACCCAGAUGCCUUCAUGACAAAGACAAACACUGGAAUCCCUAAGUGGAAAAACAUGGCGUGCUGGCACACGGCGGGCCGCGGCGAGACGUUACAUCGUGCGGACGGUUUAAUGAGCGCGGCCUGGACCCGAUCAAAAGUCGGAGUGUCCGCCGCAGCCGAACAGAAGAGGCUGUAUUUCACGCUUCGCGGGAGCCGGUCCACUCAUCCGCGGAAAACAGCGGCUGGAGGACGGAGGUCCCGUGGAAGGUUCCCCCCGUGGGGGGGGGGGGGGGACAAAGACGCAAUUGAGAGCACGGGACCAGAUCCGGCGACCCGGGACUCGUAAAAAAAAAACAGCCCCUCAGGGGAACUGCCCCCCGCCGCCAGCGGUCGAAGACGCCCGGCAGCUCCGGCAUUGUUUUUUCCGGCGCCCUGGACAAGCGGAGCGGGGUGGGAGUGGGCUCCGCGGGCCAGGCGCCAGCCGGGGGACAAAAACGCGCUGUUGUGCCGGGGAGGAACAAUCGCGACGCCGCUCACGCAACGCGCUCUCGUCAAAGUGGAGACGGCGGUCCGCUUUUGCAUGAAAGACGCACACAGCCUCCUCGUGACUCGUCGCAUUGCAUUGAAAGCGAGACAAUGACUCGAAGUGAGACCGAACGCUAAUUAGAGGUCGGCAUCCCGUCCCACAUCGCCGACGCACCGAGACGAUCGACUCGCUGUCAGACGCUCUCACGAGGUCCCGAGAAUCCCAAGCCCUCAAAGCGCUCGUUAAACCAAAUAAACACCCAGCAUGCACCUCCCUUUCUACCACCGCAGACCAGCACGAGCAGCAGAGACCACGCGGCUUCGACGUACAUUCGCACCGACAGCGACUUGAACCCUCCUUCAACAACCCGACGAAGCGGCGCCGAGCUGUUUCCAGUCCGCCCGUAACGAGCGGAUGACAGCAGCCGCGCGCCCGGUGCCGAGAGGAGCGAGCACCACGCAGACGGGCCGUCAUCGCCGGCGCUCUCCUGCUCUUCGUUAGGGAGUGGACAGAAACACAACAGGCACUUCUACAACUUCACACUUCCAGACGCAACGCGAGCAGCCGCCGCCGCAGGUGCAACAACGGGCCGAGCGCCGAGAGGUCUGCAGAGCAUUUUCUCCUCGAUUUCCACAUUCCUACUGGCCGCGUUGGGCCCUCGCGCUGGAAGCGGGGCGAGCGGGUGGGGGGAGGGGGGGGGUCUGCUCCACAUUCAGAGGCACAGCUGGUAUUUCACCGAUUAACUGGGGCCUCUUUAUUGAUCUCAUGCAGCGACGGUUACUUAACAUGGUCCUAUGUAGCUCUGUAGUCAAGUCCAUGUUAAUUGCGAUAAGAAAAUCCCUCUAAGAGAGCGUUUGCUGCUGGUUCUCAUGUACACGCACACACACACUUUGGUUAUGGAACCUUUGGAAUCAUGGCCAUUGAUGCAUUUUUUAUAGAUUGUAUUAGAACUUUGUUUCUCAUAAUCCGUGUGAACGCGUUCACCCUCGACGCCCAACAUUGCAUUCGCAAGGAAGUGAAUCGCAAAACAGCAUUAACCCAUUUACAGCAGUUACGGUUAUUUUAAAUACAAAAAGCAAAGUCAAUUUGUGUUUGAAAAAAGAGCCGGUUGUAUUUCAGUGUCUGCAGGUGAUAAAUGCCUCUAAUGUGCUGAACUCAGCAUCUUGUCCUUACGGUGGAUGAGGAGUCUCGAUGCAUAUCUGCUCGCCGCAUCAGCCGCACACUUGUUUUCUCUGUGGACAGCACACGAAAAAAUACAGGCCGACGACAACAGUGAUUCACCAUGUUUACUUUGAACAAAGCGACUUCGCGUAUCCCAUCAUGCAAAAAAAGAAAAAGAAGAAAAUCCCAAAGUUCGGACAACAACAAGGCCAAAGAGGGGAGUGGAAACGGGACAAAGAAGACUCUUGAUGUGUGACUGCGAGGUCGUCCAGGACGCGCAGAGACGCCUCCUGGAUCACAGUCAACACAUUUCACCCGCGGGUCUUCCACCUUCAUUUAGAUGAAUAUGGACCUCCUCGAGAGGAAAUAAAGCCAUUUUGAACCCCCCCCCCUCGACAACGAGUCGGCCGUCCAUAAUGUGCCCCGUCAAUGGACUGUGGGUUUAUUCAACUGCAGGCCGCCCCCAGCACAGCCAUAAAUAACAUAGGGCAGCUCACAUGAAACCCUAAUCACCAUUGUGCUGUCACCCAACAGACAAGACUGCUUGUUUAAUUUACUGCAGCGCAUCGGUCUCAGUUCUGCCCAAUUUGGUUUCACAAUUCCAAUGGCCAAGUACUCCUGGUGUAUAUUUAUCAGUGUGCUUUUCACCCAAAAGCCAUGAAUUAAUAAGAAGGCAACGUCUGUGUCUCCGGGUCGGCGUGCACGUGCUCGUUUUGGCGCGACGGUAAGUGGGCGUGUCACAAAAUAAAUAAAUAACGAAUGCCAUUGACACUUAAUAACCCCCGGGCUCAUUAUUGGCUGUAUACGACACACUUUAUUAUUAAAUUACCACCCCAUUAGCAUGCAGACAUUUGCAUAUUGCAGUCACUGCUUACAGAGGCAGUAGAUCAUAAGUGGCAGCCAUAUGCUGCCUAGUGUGCCAUCUUACAGAAUUAUUACUGCGACACAAAAAGCCGAAAGGAAAAUGGAAAUCUCCUUGACACCAAAAAGAAAUGAAAAAGAAGAAGAAAAAAAAGAAAAGGCAAAAGGAUCUGCCGUUAUUUAUGUCACAGUCGGUCUGACGGAACGAUCAUUUACACCCUCCAGAGACGCUUCCCCGCAGACGAAGAUCCACGGGCCGCUCAGGUGGGACCACCUGCCGCUUUCCUCCCACGAUACACGCAGAACACCAACGGCAAACAACAAUGCAUGGACCAUGACUUACUGGGGGGGGGGGGGUUCAGCUUGACGUCCCCCCGGCUGCAAAUACCGCUCCGGUUUUCAUGGAUUAUUGUUCUAACCUGAGGUUGAUCGUUUUAUCGAAGUAAUAAUAGUUUUUGGGGACAAAAAAUACCAAAAAUGCAGCUUCUCCAAUGUGAAUAUUUUCUACUUUUCUCACUGUUUAUCAUUACAAAUGGAAUACAUUUGGGUUUUGGACAGGAGGACAAUAAACAACAAAUUGGAAAAAUAAUAUGUUCAGUUCAGUUGAAACCUGAGAAAACUUGUUUUAACUACUCUACCAUUUUCAAAUGAAUAAAUGAGACUAAAAUUAUAGGUUAAAUUACAUGAAAAAUACAGGUUUGGUUCAGCUGGACAACCAACCAAAAAUCCCAGCCGGGUACGGACACAUCUGGCCCAGAGCCACGCUGCUUUCAUCGAGCGCCGUUUAAGGACGUCCAAGCGACAGCGGCCAUCCGGCUCGUGGCAGCAGAGGGUUAACUUGGCAGCUCGGCUGUUCAGUGCAGCUCUUAAAAAGAAUAUUAACGGCACGUCCCUCGGUGCAGACGGCGCAACAGGAAAAGGGAGGAGAAAGGCGGGGAUGGAGGGAGAGAAAGGCGAGCAGCAGAGCGGGGUGGGUGUGUGCCAUUCCAAUUCUUCAGCGACUCUGCGCUCAGGAUUACUGUUUCGGGGAAGGAACAUAUCAUCUGUCAAAGUUAAUGGCAGGGUCCCAGGGAAAAGGAAGGAAAAAUAGAACGGAGACCAAUCAUUAGGAAGGAGGCUGAUGGGGGAGGCGGAGGCGGUUGAAUCCAACGGUCUUCUCCGCCGUCUCCCCGGGAAAAUAAAUAUACACUUAAGGGCCUCACACUUAAAAGAGAUAAUAUUAUUAUUAAAAAGGGCCCGAGCGUGGAGCCGUCGUCUGGGACAAACGAGGUCGGACUGGCGUCCCGGCCGGCCAACAGGCCCGGCCAGCCCGUCUCUCACUCAGAGCUGUGGAUGUACUCCGGAGAAGCAAUUGAUACCAUUGUUUUAUGGAGAGGAGGGCGGAGGGGGAUUAACAAACCAACAAUCGGGUUCUUUCACUGCAAAUGUCAGCCGUCACGCCGGGGAACCGUCCGACUGGGCAGAGAAAAAAGCCAAGUUGCGAAAUGGAGUGUGGAAAAAUAGUAUGAAACCCCUGUGACGAGGGAAAGGAAGCAGUGUGACGUGCUCCAGAACAUUCCCGUGCCAAUUGGUAGAAUGCAACCUCAAACAGGCGAGGGGGGGGGCGCUACAAACACACAUCAUGUGAGAUCAAGUCAAACAGGGACACAAGGCUUUCAAUUUGUUGUUAAAUGCUGUGUGUGUGUGUGUGUCUGUGUGUGUUGUCUUGAGGAUGUGAUCGUUGAAAGAAAGGCAGCACAACUUCAUUCCAAGGAUUCCAAGGUCCACCAAAACACGCGGCGGCUGGAAACACAUCAAUAACCAGGAUAAUAGGUUAUGUGGGUCUUUAGCGCGGCCUCAUUAGGAGAAAAAAAAGAGGAGACAAACCGUGGCCUGAUUCCUCAGGCAAAUUAACACAGUGAGGAAACCUAAAAUAUCACAAACGACGAUCCGUCCUGGGACGUUUCAUCAUGGGACUUACAGCGGAGCGAAACAAAGCUUUGAUAACCCCCCCCUGGCGUUGGACCUCUUUGAAAAAUCGGGUGAAUAUCAAGGGCUGAACAAAGGUACCCCGGGUGAAUAUCAAGGGCUGAACAAAAGGUACCCUGGGUGAUUAUCAAGGGUUGAACAAAAGGUACCCUGGGUGAUUAUCAAGGGUUGAACAAAGGUACCCUGGGUGAAUAUCAAGGGCUGAACAAAAGGUACCCUGGGUGAUUAUCAAGGGCUGAACAAAAGGUACCCUGGGUGAAUAUCAAGGGCUGAACAAAAGGUACCCUGGGUGAAUAUCAAGGGUUGAACAGAGGUACCCUUGGUGAAUAUCAAGGGUUGAACAAAAGUACCCUGGGUGAAUAUUAAGGGUUAUACCAAAGUACCCUGGGUGAAUAUCAAGGGUUGAACAGAGGUGCCCUGGGUGAAUAUUAAGGGUUGAACCAAGGUACCCUGGGUGAAUAUUAAGGGUUGAACCAAGGUACCCUGGGUGAAUAUUAAGGGUUGAACCAAGGUACCCUGGGUGAAUAUCAAUCAGGAAACAUUUAUUCUCAUAAUAUGUCAGACAUACAAGGAAUUUGACUUGGCGGGUUGAACCGAGGUACCCUGCCGCUUUAAGGCCAAGAUGAAGCAGCGCUUCUCCCACACUGACCUAAUUGCUCUCUCGCUCUCCCAACGUGAACACUGGCAGCCGUGCACUCUGACAUGUAAAGAUUGUUUAAUACCAUCAAAGCCAUAAAGAGGAGGAAUAAAAAGCAGCGAGGGGAAAAAACAGAGAAGGGGGGGGGGUGUAACACACGCGUGGGCAGUCCAGAGAGGCUGCGUGGAAGAACAGCUGAAGGAGAAUCAGUAUGCGAAGGCGGGCGCCCGUCUAACUGCCGCCGGCCGGCGCGUGUGGAGCUCCGCACGCCCCAACAUCACAGCCCCCCCCCCCCCACAGAAAGAUCCCACUGGGCUUCAGCUACGCUCCCGGUCUCGGCUCCCACCCUUCUUUUUCCCACACUCGCCCCGGUCCCUAGAAGGCAGCGACUACGUCAUCGGGCACCACUGCCAAACCGCUGUAAUGUCCCAGUUGAGUUCUACCGGUUCUAACAGAGCCUCAUUUAGGCCCAGGCUGGUUUUAUCACGGUUAGGCUACACUGGCCUUCAUUUUUAGAAGUAACCCUAAUAGGGAUUGGGCCAAAGACUUCCAACGAGCGGAGCUAUUCUUAACGGUGGUGGAGUGGUGAACAAAUCAAAACAAAGCGUAAAAAGAUAGCCCACUUUUUCUUGCCCCCCCCCUUAUUUACAGUAAGUGAAACUAAUUAUUUCACAAUAAUUACUUCCUAAACCAGACAGCCGCUCCUUUCCAGUGUCAUUCACACAGGACUUUACAAUCUGAGGAGAAAGGAGAUGUUCUGAGCUUUUCUGUUUUAAAUAUAUUACUCCAAGAAACAGUACUAAAUCAUUCCUGGUCCAGGAGGCGGCGGCGUGAGAAAAAUCCCAGCUGUCAACAAUGAUUUGAAGUUGUCAUUUCUCCAUAACUUCCUCAUUACGUUAGAUCUUACGAGGGUUAGUUUGAGGUGGGGUUGCAAUAGGCACUAAUCCACGGAAUAACAAUCCAAAUUAACCUUUUCAAUAUAAGUUAACCCUGGGCCUACGUUUUUGAGUGGCUACGAUGCGGCUUUCUGCAGCAGCAUUGCUUUGCUUCCUGGUACUCUCGUCAUGCUGACCACCGUCUGCCGUAGAAAAUACACCGCAGGUACCGCAUACUACUUCAAAAACACCCAAACAUGACCUUAAUACAUGAGAUCUAUUACGAAUGGCGACAUCGUAGCGCUUUGAUAACCCGCUUCCAACUACUGAGAGAGGGACGGUAUUUUUAGAACUCAGUGACAUGGGAUCUGGUAUCACCAGACAUCCAAAAGGUUAUUAGCUAAAUCACUUUAGUUGUGUUGAGCGCAAGCCUCCCAAAUUACAUCUAACCGUGAAUCACAAGAGACGGGAGGCGGCGAGGUGGGGAAACCCUCCGACACUCCGAAUUCCCCGCUUUGUGUCUCAGCCUCUAACGCAUCUCGCCCUGAAUGUCACAGGUUGUCACGCGAAAGGGCAUCAUUUUCCUCCUCUUCUUCCUCCUCCAGCCCCACCCCACAACAACAACAACAACAACAACCAAAAACAUGUCUGCACUGCAAAGUCUGCAGCCAGUUUUAUGUUUUAAGUUGAGCGAGGCGCACUAAACCUUCGGCGUCAUAAAAGACCGUUCAACAGGCGCUUCACUGGAACAGAGAGGAACCGUGUAGACAGUGGACGCAGAGGAUUGCGCAAUGUGAUCUGCGGAUGCAAUCCGUGGUUUCACGAGACGACCUUUUGCAAGUUCUCGCGGGCCGCCGCGUGCGCAGCGCGGCCGUGACAUUUUGAAUGUGCCGACAUCCGGACACCUCGGACCGCCGCGUUAUCUUGACACGGGUUAAUCGGGGGUGUCGACAAAUUAGUGGGAGAGAGAAAAGAGAGAGAGAGAGAGGGAGAGGAAGAGGGAGCGUUUUGGGUCACCGGGCUCCGCGGUGUUCGAUCCCCGCCGACUGUGGAUGCCCCACUGCGUCGGACGCGCGCGUCCCUCCGCACCCGGUUGUGAAGCUCAAGCGACGUGGAUGUCGAAUCAGCGGCAGCCCUCACGGGCGUCACGACCACUGAGUAAAACGUCACUCGGACGUACACCAUUAGCCGUGGCGCAUUCACCCCCCCCAUGCUGUCACAUGUUGACAAGCUGUCAGCGGCGGGUGCACGGUGUUACCUGUGGACGCGGUUACCUGUGGACCUGUUGGCUCCUCCCCCCUGGGGCCCCUCCCGG